CAGGUCUUUUUAUGGCAGCUGCAACUCGCAAGGGUCGCAGCGAUGCCCGUCACGUGCAAGUAUGAGGAGAUCUAGGCGCCAGAGGUGCAUAAAAGUAUGCUGUGUGACUGCUGCUGCCAAGGCCGUGGCGGAGAGUUCACCACGCCGCAACCGCGGUGGUGGUGCUAUCUCGGUUUUGGCUACAAUUCUUUCAGGGCAAGGAAGGAGACCGACUAAAUGACAGACAAGAUGGAACCAUUAGCUGUAGUACUUAAGCUGGACUACCUAGGAGACAUGUAUCA
Molecule: long non-coding RNA, 281 nt
Organism: Lolium rigidum
Lineage: Eukaryota; Viridiplantae; Streptophyta; Magnoliopsida; Poales; Poaceae
Exons: 3
Source: RefSeq, a predicted model, not a curated record